UGUGUUGUUCUCAAUUAUUCAAGCUCUGCGAAGCAAAGCCAAUCCCAAAAGGCAUCUUCUCCCACCUGGACCAAAGCCAUUUCCCUUCAUCGGCAAUCUUUUAGAGCUUGGCAACAAACCCCAUCAAUCUCUCACCAAGCUUUCUCAAAUCUAUGGCCCCAUUAUAACUCUGCAACUAGGCCAAGUAACAACGGUGGUUGUUUCUUCACCAAACACAGCCAAACAAGUCCUCCAAACCCAUGACCAAUUCUUGUCCAACCGAACCGUCCCAGAUGCAAUCCAAGCCUGUGACCUUCGUCAGGACAGCCUGCCAUGGAUACCACCUUCGGCCAAAUGGAGAAGCCUUCGACAAAUAUGCAACUCUCAAUUGUUUGCCGCCAAAAUCCUCGACGCCAACCAACCCAACCGCUGCGUAAAAGUGCAAGAGCUCAUAUCUCAGGUCAACGAAAGUGCGGUCAAUGGUGAGGCGGUAGAUAUUGGAAGGGCCGCUUUCAAAACUACUCUCAAUCUGCUGUCUCGUACUAUUUUCUCAGUGGAUUUAGCUGACCCAAGUAGCGAGAUGGCUAGGGAGUUCAAGGAGACUGUGUGGGGUUUGAUGGAAGGGGCAGGGACCCCAAAUGUGGGGGACUUUUUUCCUGUCCUUCGGAAAAUUGACCCCCAGGGCAUUAGGCGGCGCAUGAUCAAACAUUUCAACAAGAUGGAACAGCUCUUUGACCGCAUGAUUAGCCAAAGAUUGGCAUCAAGAAAAGCCCAUGAUUAUGUCAAAACCAAUGAUAUGUUGGAUACUCUUUUGAACAUCAGUGAAGCGAACAGUGAGGACAUGGACAAGACCAAAAUUCAACAUCUGUUUCUGGUUAGUUGUUUUGUCUUUGCUCAUCAUUAUAGUUAAAUUACUGUAUCAAUUAAUUUAAUUUACAGAGAGAAGGGAUUUGAACUUAAGUUUAAAGAGUGGGCGAACUGGCCUGACCGUCUACUCUCGUUAGGUGUUUUUGUUUUUGGUUUUUAAUCCCAAUUUUUUUUUCUGACUUGUUAUGUUAAAAAGGCUCUAUUUGCCGCGGGCACAGAUACAACUUCAGCCACAUUGGAAUGGGCCAUGGCUGAGCUGCUACGCGACCCUGAAAAGCUAUCAAAAGCUCAACAAGAGCUGGAACAAAUCAUUGGCAAAGGAAAACCAGUAGAAGAAGCAGACAUUGCUCGACUUCCUAACUUACAAGCAAUAAUCAAAGAGACCCUUCGGUUGCACCCAGCAGCUCCAUUGCUUCUCCCUCGCAAAGCCGAUUCAGAUGUUGAAAUCUGCGGGUAUAUUGUACCCAAGGGUGCACAAGUGUUUGUAAAUGCAUGGGCUAUCGGUAGAGACCCCAGCAUUUGGGACAACCCAAGCUCGUUUAUGCCGGAGAGGUUCUUGGGAUUGGAUGACCAAAUUGAUGUUAUAGGCAAAAACUUUGAGCUUAUCCCAUUUGGUGGUGGGAGGAGAAUAUGUCCUGGCUUGCGAUUGGCAAUGCGAAUUCUGCCCUUGAUGUUGGGUUCACUCAUUAACUUUUUUGAUUGGAAGCUUGAAGAUGGGGUUAUACCAGAGACUUUGAACAUGGAAGAGAAAUUUGGCCUCACCUUGCAGAUGGCUCACCCUCUUAGAGCUCUGCCCAAGUCAUUUUGUGAAAUUUAAUGGAGUCUAUAUAUGUCACUUAUCUAAGUUAGUAUUGAAACUUGUUAACAAUCAUGGUUGUAAGUUAUUGUUUCCAUAACAAUACUUCAUAAUGGCUUUUGGGUCUAAUGAUAUUUAGUUUCCACUCCUUUUUAUUAAGCUCUUAUAUCAGAAAGAAUGAAUCUUUUCUCUUAUCUUUUUUAUGCUCUCUUUUCUUCUUCUUCUUCUUAUGAUUCAAUGAAUCUUAAUAUGUGUAAACUUCAAAUCUCAUGCACAUGCGUUUGUUGUAUUAUUAGAUACUAAUAAUUCGCACACAUACUAUGCAUGAGUAGAGAAUAAAUAUCCCUCAUUACAUUAACUUCUUUUUGGUUAGUGCAAUUUAAAUAAGAGGAUAAUUAGCACUUUUGACAAAGUGGUUGACAAGAAACCUUAAGGCCAUUGAAUUGAAGACCUCGAGCCUUAGUCCUCAAGACAAUAAGACCUACACACUCAUAUAAUAUGCCAACGUCCAAUACCUUCAUCUAUGGGGCAUAGCCUUGGCUAAGUUGGCCAAAUCCAGGUCCUUCGUAUUCUAUACUCCCUUUUUUUGGUUGGCCAAAUUUAGGUUGGGAAAAUGUUUUUUCACACUCACUGUUAAGGUACAUUAGUGUUCGAACAUGAGACCACUGUCCUACAGAUCAUUGCCCUUUUCCAGUUGGCUAGACAUCAUUGAUCACUGUCUGAGGAGCAUUGCUACUACAGCAAAGGUGGUGUAGGUUGAUAGUACUGAUGUUAUUGAAGGCGUGCUUGUUAGAGAAAACAUCUUCAAAUAUAAAGAAUUGUAAUGAAAAGGAGGUUUUGUUUUUGUUUUUUUGUUGUUGUUGAUUAUUGGCUUGUUGAGUUAAGUUGGAAAUUCAGGUGAAGGGAUUUUAUAGAACAAAAAAUGGGAUAUCUAGCUUCCACUUGAAGCUCUUUGAACUCAAGUUGAUGCUUAAAAUAUUAGCAAGCUUUCCCCAAACUUUUCAAAUUUGGUCAAUGUUUAGAUGAGUGAAACAAGCUUCUCAAGCCAUUUUCAAAAGGAAAUUACAUCUUUUAUUUAUGGCAAAAAGUUACUUUUGGUCUUUGUGGCUUAUCUCUUUUACUACUAAGGCCCCCUAUAGUUUCAAUUUGAUCAUUUUUGCGUACGUGGUUUCACUUUGAAGCAAUUUAAGGAUAAUCAUCAAUUUCUGUCAAAUUUUUUUUUUAUAACUUCAGCUCAUUGUGCAUGGGCAAUUUGGUCCAUAAAUUAUCAAAAAAUCAAUUCCUUUUAAAGUUUAAAAAAAAAUUUAAAAAAUUUUCAAUUCCUUUCAAAAAUAAACAAUACAAUUUUCAAAAUAACAAAAAGAUUAGGGGCCGGUAAUGUUUUCAAGGCCCUGUUUUCAUUUUCUACCAAAAAUUCGUUUGGUAUGUCGUUUUCAUUUUUUAUUGGAAUUCAUUUUCUGAAAAUAAAUUAAAACUCAUGUACAAAAACUGAAAACACCAAAUUAUCGUUUUCAUUUUCUAUCUAGUGUAUUGGUUGAUUGCCUUUUUUUCUUUUUCUUUUUGUUGGUCUGAAUUUUUUUUCUUUUUCAUUUGUCAGUUAUUUUUUCAAUUUUUAUUUUUUUUCGCUGCACUUCAUUAUUUUAUUUUGUUGCACGAGUGUAUAUUAAUUUUAUGAUAAAACCAUCAUAUAUUAUUCAAUUUCAUAUUUAUUUUAAACUAAAGAUAAUAGAAUUUUAUUAUCUAGGUUUUUCUAACAUUAGAAUUUUUAUUCUCAAAUGAUACAUUUUUCAUUGUUUAUAAUAAUUUUAGCCUUAAAAAAUAUAUGAGAUUUUUUUUUAAAAAAAAAUUUUAGGACAUAAAUUAGCAAAAAAUAUACUUGAAAAAUAACUCACAUAUUAUUAUUCUCAAAUUCUCCCCACCAGACACUUUUUCACUGUUUUUAUUUUCUGAAUAUGUUUUCCAAUUAAUAUACCAGAUGCAUUCUUGAAUCCUAAAAAUGCAAUUCGUUUGCUCAUUUUCAUUCUUAGAAAAUAUUCUCAAGAAACAUUCUCCAAAAACGUUACCAAAUGGGCCCUUACAAUUCGAAAACCCCAUAUCUUCAUGAUUUUUGGAUACAAUUUCAAAACUGUAAUUAGUAAUCUCCCCAAUAUAUCACAAGUCGAAGCAAUGAGAGAGACAGAGAUGGAGAGAGGGUGGAUUUGGGUAGUGGCUGUGGUGGAUCUGGGCUAGGUGGAGGAGAGAGAAAGAGGUUGGGAGAGGAGAAGGGGAGUGGGAGGCUAUUUCAAAACUAAUUAUUUUAUUUUAUUUUUUAUUUGUAAAAGGAAAGGAUUUUUUGAUAAUUUGUGGACCGAAUUGCCCCUACACAACUAACAAAAAUUUGAAAGAAAUUGAGGAUAGUCCUUGAAUUGCCUCAAAUUGAAACCACAUGAAUAAAAAUGAUUAAAUUCAAACCAUAUGGACAAAAAUGAUCAAAUUGAAACCGCAUGGACUUUAAUGGUAGAAGUGAUAAACCAUAAAAACUAAAAGUUGUUGUAAAGUAGAAUGGGUGAAGCCCACAUAGUCAAAAGGUGAACAGUGAUAAUUGGGUAGAAACAUCAUUAUGUCUUCUCUUUUAUUCACGGGUGCCAUUUAACAUGCCUAUAAAUAGGCAACGCUCUUGCCUGCAAAGAUAGAGAGAACUAACAUUCAAUGAAGAGAUCAGUUUCUAUACUUUCUCUAUAUCUCAAUUCUCUCCAUAAUCUCUUUAGUUUAUAACACGUUAUCAGCACGAUUUCUCUAUCUCUCUGUCUCUCUCUCCCAGCCAUAGCCAGAACCACAGAGUAAAAGCUAGCGGAAGAGCAAACAUCAUUUUACAUCUGUGGGUGGGAGUUUAGGUUAGCUAGCUUGUGAAAUAAUCAUGGCAGCUCCCAUUUCUAGCUCCUCCUUCCUCAUGAGGUACAUCAUUUGUUGCUCUGGUUUUCUAUGCCUGAUUCUGUGCUCUUCGGAGAAGGGCUUUGCCUUGGAAGAAAGAGAACAUGCUCACACAGUUGAAGUCAAUUCUCUGCUUUCUGCAACCACCUGCAGCUCCUCCUCCUCCUCCUAGCCACUGAUUUCUGGCGUGUGAAAAAAAAAGAUGAGAGAAGCCAUGGCUCUUCAGAGGAGAAAAAGUUGGAGCUCAGGCUUGGGCCUCCAGGUGAAGACUGGUCUUUGAAUGGUAACUCCAGAAGCAACAAAGAAAGAGAUGAGUCUCUUCUCUCUCUUGGGUACCUUUCCCCUAUGUCUUCCAACAACAACAACAACAACAACAACAACGUAAACCACCACCGAACCCAGAAAUUUAUCUCUCCCUCAGACAAGUCUGUUUUGUCCUCAUCUCCAUGGUCUUACCAGCUGGGAAAUAUUCAUCAACAUCAGACAAAAGUUCCAUCUUUUCUUCACUUCACAUCAAGUUCUCAGGGCCUGCCUGUUACCCCCAACAAAGCAUCACAGCCCUGUUGCAC
RNAcentral lists this long non-coding RNA (5121 nucleotides) under Prunus persica (peach). Its description in RNAcentral is "long non-coding RNA (PPER_LNC001175)". Lineage: Eukaryota; Viridiplantae; Streptophyta; Magnoliopsida; Rosales; Rosaceae. The record is from RNAcentral.